UACAGAGGGUGCAAGCGUUAAUCGGAAUUACUGGGCGUAAAGGGCGCGUAGGUGGAUGAUUGAGUCGGAUGUGAAAUCCCUGGGCUUAACCUAGGACGUGCAUUUGAUACUGAUUGUCUAGAGUGAAGUAGAGGGUAGUGGAAUUUCUGGUGUAGCGGUGAAAUGCGUAGAUAUCAGAAAGAACACCGGUGGCGAAGGCGGCUACCUGGACUUUAACUGACACUGAGGCGCGAAAGCGUGGGGAGCAAACAGG
This 253-nucleotide ribosomal RNA is filed under the name uncultured bacterium. Its description in RNAcentral is "partial 16S ribosomal RNA". It matches the Rfam family "Bacterial small subunit ribosomal RNA", at positions 524 to 776 of the family's 1533-position model. The record is from RNAcentral.